Molecule: ribosomal RNA, 253 nt
Filed under: uncultured bacterium
Lineage: Bacteria
Description: partial 16S ribosomal RNA
Rfam family: Bacterial small subunit ribosomal RNA
Source: RNAcentral
UACGUAGGUGGCAAGCGUUGUCCGGAAUUAUUGGGCGUAAAGCGCGCGCAGGUGGUUUCUUAAGUCUGAUGUGAAAGCCCACGGCUCAACCGUGGAGGGUCAUUGGAAACUGGGAGACUUGAGUGCAGAAGAGGAAAGUGGAAUUCCAUGUGUAGCGGUGAAAUGCGUAGAGAUAUGGAGGAACACCAGUGGCGAAGGCGACUUUCUGGUCUGCAACUGACACUGAGGCGCGAAAGCGUGGGGAGCAAACAGG